Molecule: ribosomal RNA, 513 nt
Filed under: uncultured bacterium
Lineage: Bacteria
Description: bacterial SSU rRNA
Rfam family: Bacterial small subunit ribosomal RNA
Source: RNAcentral
GACGAACGCUGGCGGCGUGCCUAAUACAUGCAAGUCGAGCGGACCAAAGGGAGCUUGCUCCUGGAGGUUAGCGGCGAACGGGUGAGUAACACGUGGGCAACCUGCCUGUAAGACUGGGAUAACAUCGAGAAAUCGGUGCUAAUACCGGAUAAUAAAAAGAACUGCAUGGUUCUUUUUUGAAAGAUGGUUUCGGCUAUCACUUACAGAUGGGCCGCGGCGCAUUAGCUAGUUGGUGAGGUAACGGCUCACCAAGGCAACGAUGCGUAGCCGACCUGAGAGGGUGAUCGGCCACACUGGGACUGAGACACGGCCCAGACUCCUACGGGAGGCAGCAGUAGGGAAUCUUCCGCAAUGGACGAAAGUCUGACGGAGCAACGCCGCGUGAGUGAUGAAGGUUUUCGGAUCGUAAAACUCUGUUGUUAGGGAAGAACAAGUGCCGUUCGAAAGGGCGGCACCUUGACGGUACCUAACGAGAAAGCCACGGCUAACUACGUGCCAGCAGCCGCGGUAAAG